RNAcentral lists this ribosomal RNA (450 nucleotides) under uncultured Glomus. RNAcentral's name for it is "SSU rRNA". It matches the Rfam family "Eukaryotic small subunit ribosomal RNA", at positions 569 to 1025 of the family's 1831-position model. Lineage: Eukaryota; Fungi; Glomeromycota; Glomeromycetes; Glomerales; Glomeraceae. The record is from RNAcentral.
AGCAGCCGCGGUAAUUCCAGCUCCAAUAGCGUAUAUUAAAGUUGUUGCAGUUAAAAAGCUCGUAGUUGAAUUUCGAGAUCAAAUUGUUGGUCGUGCCUUGGUACGUACUGGCAUUAUUGGUUUCUCCCUUCUGAAGAACCAUGAUGUCAUUAAUUUGGUGUCAUGGGGAAUCAGGACUGUUACUUUGAAAAAUUAGAGUGUUUAAAGCAGGCUCGCGCUUGAAUACAUUAGCAUGGAAUAAUGAAAUAGGACGUUUAAUUCUAUUUUGUUGGUUUCUAGGAUUGACGUAAUGAUUAAUAGGGAUAGUUGGGGGCAUUAGUAUUCAAUUGCCAGAGGUGAAAUUCUUGGAUUUAUUGAAGACUAACUACUGCGAAAGCAUUUGCCAAGGAUGUUUUCAUUAAUCAAGAACGAAAGUUAGGGGAUCGAAGACGAUCAGAUACCGUCGUAGUC